AAUUCCAGCGAAAGGCUGAGGGAGCGAGCGGGAGGGCCGCGAAGGUGCAAGAAUCGAGCGAGCAGAACCAGCAGAGCCGCGCUCCGGGCGCCCAGGGCAGGGAGAUCCGGAGCGAAAGGGGGCUUCGCCUCCGGCCCCGCCGCCCCCACCCCAUCCUGCCCGCUGCCCCCACCCGAGGUCCGCAGCCCCGCCGCAGCCGCGAAACUUUGCCCCUUGCCGUGAGCCGGCACUUUGCACUGGAACUUACAAUACCCGGGCGAGGACGCAGACACCCGGCGCGGUGAGGCGAGCCCGCCUGCUAGAGGAGCCACUUUUCCCCGCUGC
This 324-nucleotide non-coding RNA is filed under the name Loxodonta africana (African savanna elephant). Lineage: Eukaryota; Metazoa; Chordata; Mammalia; Proboscidea; Elephantidae. The record is from RNAcentral.